Molecule: ribosomal RNA, 414 nt
Filed under: Hydnum repandum
Lineage: Eukaryota; Fungi; Basidiomycota; Agaricomycetes; Cantharellales; Hydnaceae
Description: eukaryotic LSU rRNA
Rfam family: 5.8S ribosomal RNA (bases 1-127)
Source: RNAcentral
UUGCAUCGAUGAAGAACGCAGCGAAAUGCGAUAAGUAAUGUGAAUUGCAGAAUUCAGUGAAUCAUCGAAUCUUUGAACGCACCUUGCGCUCUCUGGUAUUCCGGGGAGCACACCUGUUCGAGUGUCAUUGAAACUCUCAAAUAAAGGUGGUUUUUUGGAGACCAUCUCUGUUUGGAUUUGGGCUUUGCUGCAUUAAUGUGGCUAGUCUUAAAUGUAUUAGCUGGUCCUCAUUGUGGUUUUGGUUCUACUCAGCAUGAUAAUUAUCUAAUGUUGAGGACAGUUGAAGGACUGGCCAUGGCCCUCUCUGGAUUGCUUCUAAAUCGUCUUCAGGACAAUUGUUUAAUUUUCUGACCUCCAAUCAGGUGGGACUACCCGCUGAACUUAAGCAUAUCAAUAAACGGAGGAACGAAGAAA